GUAAGGAACCUGCGGAGGGAUCAUCA
RNAcentral lists this ribosomal RNA (26 nucleotides) under Mycosphaerella sp. KLJ 02.03-1a. RNAcentral describes it as "partial 18S ribosomal RNA". Lineage: Eukaryota; Fungi; Ascomycota; Dothideomycetes; Mycosphaerellales; Mycosphaerellaceae. The record is from RNAcentral.